This 200-nucleotide ribosomal RNA is filed under the name uncultured bacterium. RNAcentral's name for it is "partial 16S ribosomal RNA". It matches the Rfam family "Bacterial small subunit ribosomal RNA", at positions 8 to 214 of the family's 1533-position model. The record is from RNAcentral.
AGAGUUUGAUCCUGGCUCAGGAUAAACGCUGGCGGCGUGCCUAACACAUGCAAGUCGAACGCCCUCUUCUUUCGGGAAGAGGGAGUGGCGGACGGGUGAGUAACACGUAGGUGACCUACCUUGAGGUGGGGAAUACCAACGAGAAAUCGUUGACAAUUCCGCAUAGGUUCUCUUCGGAGAGCAAAGCUUCGGUUCAUCCG